This 431-nucleotide ribosomal RNA is filed under the name uncultured Alphaproteobacteria bacterium. Its description in RNAcentral is "bacterial SSU rRNA". It matches the Rfam family "Bacterial small subunit ribosomal RNA", at positions 958 to 1385 of the family's 1533-position model. Lineage: Bacteria; Pseudomonadati; Pseudomonadota; Alphaproteobacteria. The record is from RNAcentral.
AACGCGAAGAACCUUACCAGUCCUUGACAUGUCCACUAUGGGCCUGAGAGAUCAGGUCCUUCACUUCGGGUGGGUGGAACACAGGUGCUGCAUGGCUGUCGUCAGCUCGUGUCGUGAGAUGUUGGGUUAAGUCCCGCAACGAGCGCAACCCUCAUCUUCAGUUGCCCCCGGGUCAGGCCGGGCACUCUGAAGAAACCGCCGGUGACAAGCCGGAGGAAGGCGGGGAUGACGUCAAGUCCUCAUGGCCCUUACGGACUGGGCUACACACGUACUACAAUGGUGGUGACAGUGGGCAGCGAAAGCGCGAGCUGGAGCUAAUCCCCAAAAGCCAUCUCAGUUCAGAUUGCACUCUGCAACUCGAGUGCAUGAAGUUGGAAUCGCUAGUAAUCGCAGAUCAGCACGCUGCGGUGAAUACGUUCCCGGGCCUUGUA